CUACGGGUGGCUCCAGUGGGGAAUAUUGGACAAUGGGGGAAACCCUGAUCCAGCAAUGCCGCGUGUGUGAAGAAGGCCUGCGGGUUGUAAAGCACUUUCGGUUGGGAGGACUGCUUCUAGCACUAAUAUUGUUGGAAGUUGACGUUACCUUCAGAAGAAGCACCGGCUAACUCCGUGCCAGCAGCCGCGGUAAUACGGAGGUGCAAGCGUUAAUCGGAAUUACGGGGCGUAAAGCGCGCGUAGGCGGCUAGAUCAGUCGGGUGUGAAAGCCCCGGGCUUAACCUGGGAACUGCAUCCGAUACUGUCUAGCUUGAGUACAGGAGAGGAGAGUGGAAUUCCACAUGUAGCGGUGAAAUGCGUAGAUAUGUGGAGGAACACCAAUGGCGAAGGCAGCUCUCUGGCCUGAUACUGACGCUGAGGUGCGAAAGCGUGGGGAGCAAACAGGAUUAGAUACCCGAGUAGUC
Molecule: ribosomal RNA, 464 nt
Filed under: uncultured bacterium
Lineage: Bacteria
Description: partial 16S ribosomal RNA
Rfam family: Bacterial small subunit ribosomal RNA
Source: RNAcentral